RNAcentral lists this ribosomal RNA (301 nucleotides) under uncultured bacterium. Its description in RNAcentral is "partial 16S ribosomal RNA". It matches the Rfam family "Bacterial small subunit ribosomal RNA", at positions 509 to 807 of the family's 1533-position model. The record is from RNAcentral.
CAGUCGCCACGGGAAUACGAAGGGGGCUAGCGUUGUUCGGAAUUACUGGGCGUAAAGCGCACGUAGGCGGACAUUUAAGUCAGGGGUGAAAUCCCGGGGCUCAACCCCGGAACUGCCUUUGAUACUGGGUGUCUAGAGUAUGGAAGAGGUGAGUGGAAUUCCGAGUGUAGAGGUGAAAUUCGUAGAUAUUCGGAGGAACACCAGUGGCGAAGGCGGCUCACUGGUCCAUUACUGACGCUGAGGUGCGAAAGCGUGGGGAGCAAACAGGAUUAGAGACCCCAGUAGUCCCUGUCUCUUAUAC